GCAGUAGCCACGGUAAUACGUAGGGUGCAAGCGUUAUCCGGAAUUAUUGGGCGUAAAGAGCUCGUAGGCGGUCUGUCGCGUCUGCUGUGAAAACUGGAGGCUCAACCUCCAGCCUGCAGUGGGUACGGGCAGACUAGAGUGCGGUAGGGGAGAUUGGAAUUCCUGGUGUAGCGGUGGAAUGCGCAGAUAUCAGGAGGAACACCGAUGGCGAAGGCAGAUCUCUGGGCCGUAACUGACGCUGAGGAGCGAAAGCAUGGGGAGCGAACAGGAUUAGAUACCCCAGUAGUCUCUGUCUCUUAUAC
This 302-nucleotide ribosomal RNA is filed under the name uncultured bacterium. Its description in RNAcentral is "partial 16S ribosomal RNA". It matches the Rfam family "Bacterial small subunit ribosomal RNA", at positions 508 to 807 of the family's 1533-position model. The record is from RNAcentral.